UGGAUGAAAAGAAAUCAGCAUUUCUUGGGCUU
Molecule: non-coding RNA, 32 nt
Filed under: Rattus norvegicus (Norway rat)
Lineage: Eukaryota; Metazoa; Chordata; Mammalia; Rodentia; Muridae
Source: RNAcentral